This is a long non-coding RNA of Lutzomyia longipalpis, 1495 nucleotides long. RefSeq lists it as uncharacterized. The record is from RefSeq and is a predicted model, not a curated record. The transcript has 4 exons. Lineage: Eukaryota; Metazoa; Arthropoda; Insecta; Diptera; Psychodidae.
CCGUCAGGAAGUGUCUCCGAUCAUCCAUAGAAAGGCAAUAUUCUUUAUUUUUUUAGCUUAACACUGUGUAGGAGGUAUACAAAUUUUGGGAGAAGAUAUGAUUGGGCAGACAAUUUUAAGAUGGGUCUGUCGCGAGCAAAACAAGAAGAUAAACCUCUAAUGAUGGUUAUUCAUGCCACCGGAUGUCCAGCAUGUCGGAAGCUAAAGACAGACUUUGCGAGUGAUAAAAAACUUUUAGAACUCAGCAAAAAUUUCGUAAUGUUAAAUACGGAGGAUGAUGAGGAGCCUAAAGCGAGAAAAUUUCAGAUAGACGGACUCUAUUUUCCCCGAAUUCUUUUCUUCUCACCGUGUGGGAAAGUGUUGAAGGAAGUAAUCAAUGAGAAACGCGAAAACGAAGACUGCAAAUAUUACUAUUCCACCGCCAUGGAUAUUACGAAAUCUAUGCAGAAAGUCUUGAAGAUGUAUAGAAAAAAAAUUUCAUUUGCAACUGUAUACGAUUUUCUUAAAAGAGACUCCAUCCAAAGCAUCAGCUUUCAUUAAGAGCAUUUCACGUGGAAGAUGGAUAAAUGAGGUGAGAAUUGAAAUCAUGAUGUUUCUAAAAAUGAAGAGGCCGACCCGACAAAAAGCAUAGAAAAAUAUGAAGGAACAAAAAAAUCAUCUUAAUAACCAACUGAAAAUUACAAGACAUCGACACGACCCAAGAGGUGUGAAUGGAAUGGAAUACGAAAUGAUUUCUCUAAGCACUCUGCAAAAAGUUUAUACGUUUUGCGAGAAUGUUCAGUAAAAAAUUUGGUGAAUGACAAAAAAACCGAAGAAAUUCAAACAAAUUAGAGAAAAAAAUUGUGUACCUAAUUUAUGUUCCUCUUUUACACACAAUACGUGCUUGGAUAUUCAAAAAUGCAUCUUUUUGAACUUUUGGUCUUUUGGUCAAAAAUACGUGUGAAAAAGAAAGAAGCAAAAGGUGCAAUUGUUCACCGAAUAUCGGAAGAGACUUUCCAAGUUGGUAUUUUUAACAAGAAACAGUCAAAUAGCAGCACUUUUGUGAACGAAUACCACUAAUCUAAGAAAAUAAAGAGUCUUACCUAUUGCUUGAAAUUCCAUCUUGAUUAACAUUCACAUCCUUUGCACCGAGGGUCUCCGUCGUAUUACCAACUGUGUCUGAAAAACAAAUCAAGAAAAAAUGUUCAGAAUUUCUAAAUUAAUUUAUACCUGAGGAAAGAGAGAAAAUCUCCGAAACAUUUUAUAUUAAAAUUAUAUAUGUAUGUAUAUGGAAAAUUUGGAAAAGGUAAUUUUCUAUCCAGCAAUUUAAUCUGACUGAGGCAUAUUUGUUUUAAUAGUUCAGAAUAAGUAAUAAAAAUCCUUGCUCUUUCACCUAUCAAGGGCACAGUCACAAGAGAAGGUCCCCAAAAAAGGUAAAUGUUCAGAAAAUUCAGGCUUGUCUUUAGAAAUCAAAACUAAUUAUUUUUAGGCUAUUUUUUACAAUAAAAAAGAAAAA